Cuculus canorus (common cuckoo) is the source of this 452-nucleotide long non-coding RNA. RefSeq lists it as uncharacterized. The record is from RefSeq and is a predicted model, not a curated record. NCBI's taxonomy places the organism in Eukaryota, Metazoa, Chordata, Aves, Cuculiformes, Cuculidae. The transcript is spliced from 3 exons.
CACAGAGUACAGGUGACUACCUCAAACCCCUGUGCUCCCAGUUUUAAGUGAAAACGGGGCACUGUGCUGGCAGUGCGCAAUGGUUCUCACUCAGCCACAGUGCUGCAUGACCCUGAGGCCCCCUUUCAGUACUGGAAGGCUGCUAUGAGGUCUCCAGGUGCCUUCUCCAGGCUGAACAAGCCCAACUCUCUGAGCCUGUCCUCGUAUCAUCUUCAUGGCCCUACUCUGGACUCACUAUAAAAGAACCAUGCCCUUCUUGUGCUGAGGACUCCAGAACUGAAUGCAGGACUCCAGGCUUUUUUAAAUAACUCCCCGGGUCUCCAGCAGCUUGGCUAAAGCAUUAAGCGGCUGGCUUUGUGACUCCUAGUGCUCGUCUCAGACUGCACCCGGGGCUCUGCUGACCCUGCAGGGAGGACAAUGCCAGCACAGCAGGAGCAGGGAAGAAGGAACAC